RNAcentral lists this long non-coding RNA (2525 nucleotides) under Brassica napus (rape). RNAcentral describes it as "long non-coding RNA (BNAP_LNC011319)". Lineage: Eukaryota; Viridiplantae; Streptophyta; Magnoliopsida; Brassicales; Brassicaceae. The record is from RNAcentral.
GAGCUGAUGAUAACACUGGAGAUGAUAUGCUUGGAGCUGCUAAAACUACGCUCUCCACUGAUGUCACCAAGGAUGGCGCUGGUGAGCGUAAUAGUGUUGAAGUCCAAGCUGACAGUGCAGACCUUCACGAGGAGAGCAUAGUUUUAGCAGCUCUACAGCCAGACGACUUACAUAGAAGUCGUCUAGACGAACAAAUCUGGAAAAAAAAUAUUGAUUUCAUAGUUUCAACUAGUGAAAUAACUUGUUUAACAAAUAUAAGUCUUCUCCAAACAACCAGAAUCUCAAACAAAAGUGACUCACCAAGAAUCGUAAGUUUCCAUGGCUCUAUGACCCAUACAAAUUUUAGAAUCAAAGUUUUGGGUUUUUUGAGAUGAAUAUGGAGAGAAAGUGAAAGAGAGAUGUUGUUUUUAGUUCAUAAGAAUUGAGAAAGAAGAAGUGUAAAUUGAUUUGAGGUGCAUUAAGAGCUUCAAAUUAUUUGUUCAUGGUGGUUGGUGUAUUGAUGGCCAUGACAAUCUUGUAAAUAUUUGAAGAUGGUGAGGUUGAGAGAGUAAAAAUGUCAUUUUCGAAAAAAAACUAAUGACAUUUUCGUAAAUAAUGUGAAUUUAUGGGGUGAAUAAGACAAAAAAAAAAUCCAAAAAACAUAUGUUAGUUUUAAGUCUGACUUCAUGUUUUGAGUCAAUUUUGCAAAUAACCCAAUAAACCCUUGAUUGUAUAGAUUGUAGACGAGUGUCUGAUUUAAAAUUAAUUGGUAAUAAAUAUAUAAAUUUAUGAGGAUGGUUGGAGAAAGCUGUUAGUAUUAUAGACAACUUUAAUUCUCUCCACAUCACUAAAUUAAAAGCAGUCAAGCUUUGGUUAAUUUUUUAAAUUUCACAGUUUUUGUGGCUGUGGAGAGCUAAUUUUUAGAGUAUUCUUUCAACUGCUUUGAAAAAUGUUUUUUCUCCUUUUUGUAAAACAUAUAUGCUUCAUUUCUUCUAUAGUAAUACGUUUCACUAACAUACAUAUAAUACUAUAUUUCUUACAUAUAUAAUCCACAAAAAUGUUACAAAUAUUAUUAAAAUAUGUAUGCAAUUGCACUCAUAAUCUUUUGACAGUACUAAUGCUUUGUCAAUCUAAAACAUAACAUGGCAUAAACAGGCAGAGCCAUGGCUAUAGACUUGAGGAGAACCUCCUUACCACCUAGUGACAGUUUCUUAGCAGCUCACGAUCAACUCAAAACAAAUAAUUACAAACCUCACGAUAAUGCUGGAGAAAAUGUUCAUGUUGCCAUGGCCGUCAGUUCCACCAUUUACAACAAAUCCUUGAGGUGAAUUAUGUCCACUGUUAUAGUUGUUAUACUCUUUGCUCAAUGUUUUCGAAUUUCUUAUUUGAGUAAUUGUACAAUACAAGGUAAAUAAGGUGAAGGUGGUGGUUGAGAUUGUGGUCUGUAUACAGCUCUACUGUACUAGGUUACAAGUUUUUUGGACAUGUUUUUUGUUUUGUUUUCGUGAUCAGUUUUGUCUAGGUUCUUUACCUUUCCUUAUCAUGUUGACUUAUUUCAUACAUUUAACUAAAAUGUUAUCUCAUCCAUUGUUACAAUAGACUGUGGAGUUCCUCUGCACUGGAGAAUUUGUCAGUACUGAAACUACUACAUCUCCUGCUCAAAAUGCUAUUGAAAGCUUCAGCAUGGAUCCUCAUCAUUCACAUGUGCAUACUGCCAUAACGACAACACAGUUGGAGUUCUCAGGUUAUUCUUCCAUAGCUCAAGUUUAGCUAAACCUAAUGUCCCAAUUUGAGGAUACACUCACCACUUCUGUACAUUGUUCACGCUGAACUUUUGCAGGUACUGUGUCCAUUUCUAUGGGUCAGAUAGGACAAAUUUCGCUGGGUUUGUGGCAUUUGAUGGAGAGAUGACUAAGCUAAACAACUUACGUGCAGCAGAAGUUGCUCAAUUAAUGGUAACACCACCGAGAACUAUAUACAAUUAAUGGUUUAUAUCUUUCAAAAACACCAAUACAACAUACCUCACCAGCAUUUUUACACAGGAUCCAGGUUUGGAGAACCCCGACCAAAGACCCCUCCCACAAUGCUUAAAGGAUUUGGUUGGCACCACUAUAACUUCACAUUUAAAGCUGUCCCCAUUCAACUUUUCCUCAAAGCAGCAGUCCUUCACAAUAUCAAGGAUCAUUGAUCGCAAUCAACGUUCACCACUCCCAAAAUUUGCUGGAAACGUAAGUUUAAGAAGUAGCUAAACAUGUUUUAAACUUUUCUUAUUAUGACUACAGCUAUUGAUAGGGUUCAUGGGCAGGGAGCUGAUGAUAACACUGGAGAUGAUAUGCUUGGAGCUGCUAAAACUACGCUCUCCACUGAUGUCACCAAGGAUGGCGCUGGUGAGCGUAAUAGUGUUGAAGUCCAAGCUGACAGUGCAGACCUUCACGAGGAGAGCAUAGUUUUAGCAGCUCUACAGCCAGACGACUUACAUAGAAGUCGUCUAGACGAACAAAUCUGGAAAAAAAAUAUUGAUUUCAUAGUUUCAACUAGUGAAAUAA